RNAcentral lists this ribosomal RNA (546 nucleotides) under uncultured bacterium. RNAcentral's name for it is "bacterial SSU rRNA". It matches the Rfam family "Bacterial small subunit ribosomal RNA", at positions 355 to 895 of the family's 1533-position model. The record is from RNAcentral.
UGGGGAAUAUUGCGCAAUGGGGGGAACCCUGACGCAGCCAUGCCGCGUGAAUGAAGAAGGCCUUAGGGUUGUAAAGUUCUUUCGGUAUUGAGGAAGGUUGAUGUGAUAAUAGCACAUCAAAUUGACGUUAAAUACAGAAGAAGCACCGGCUAACUCCGUGCCAGCAGCCGCGGUAAUACGGAGGGUGCGAGCGUUAAUCGGAAUAACUGGGCGUAAAGGGCACGCAGGCGGUUAUUUAAGUGAGGUGUGAAAGCCCUGGGCUUAACCUAGGAAUUGCAUUUCAGACUGGGUAACUAGAGUACUUUAGGGAGGGGUAGAAUUCCACGUGUAGCGGUGAAAUGCGUAGAGAUGUGGAGGAAUACCGAAGGCGAAGGCAGCCCCUUGGGAAUGUACUGACGCUCAUGUGCGAAAGCGUGGGGAGCAAACAGGAUUAGAUACCCUGGUAGUCCACGCUGUAAACGCUGUCGAUUUGGGGGUUGGGGUUUAACUUUGGCGCCCGUAGCUNACGUGAUAAAUCGACCGCCUGGGGAGUACGGCCGCAAGGUU